UUUUUUGAAGAAUUGAGUUAAAUUAAGAAACCCAAGGCUAAGAAGCCAAACAGAAGCAAGAGAGCCUACGACAAGGCAAACACAACGAAAUAAAGACCAAGCAAAGCAGUGAGCAGGGAUACAACAACCGACACAAUCACUAAGAGAUAGUGUCACCCCAAACCCACCACAACCUGCUAAUGAGGGCAAGGCAGUCCGUC
Molecule: long non-coding RNA, 200 nt
Filed under: Malus domestica (apple)
Lineage: Eukaryota; Viridiplantae; Streptophyta; Magnoliopsida; Rosales; Rosaceae
Description: long non-coding RNA (MDOM_LNC004352)
Source: RNAcentral